Molecule: ribosomal RNA, 205 nt
Filed under: uncultured bacterium
Lineage: Bacteria
Description: partial 16S ribosomal RNA
Rfam family: Bacterial small subunit ribosomal RNA
Source: RNAcentral
UCUGUAGGUGGUCAAAUAAGUCAACUGUUAAAUCUUGAGGCUCAACCUCAAAAUCGCAGUCGAAACUAUUAGACUAGAGUAUAGUAGGGGUAAAGGGAAUUUCCAGUGGAGCGGUGAAAUGCGUAGAGAUUGGAAAGAACACCGAUGGCGAAGGCACUUUACUGGCUAUUACUAACACUCAGAGACGAAAGCUAGGGUAGCAAUG